Molecule: ribosomal RNA, 253 nt
Filed under: uncultured bacterium
Lineage: Bacteria
Description: partial 16S ribosomal RNA
Rfam family: Bacterial small subunit ribosomal RNA
Source: RNAcentral
GACAGAGGUGCCGAGCGUUAGGCGGAAUCACUGGGCUUAAAGCGUGUGUAGGCGGGCCGUUAAGUGCCCCGUGAAAUCCCCCGGCUCAACCGGGGAACGGCGGGGCAUACUGGCGGCCUUGAGCCACUUAAGGGCAGACGGAACAAGCGGUGGAGCGGUGAAAUGCGUAGAUAUCGCUUGGAACGCCGACGGUGAAAACAGGUUGCUGGGAAUGUGCCGACGCUGAGACACGAAAGCCAGGGGAGCAAACGGG